AUGCCUGAAGAAGUUGGUUCAAGAGCUCUUGCAUGAGUUCAUCCUCAGUAAAUGGCAGCAUUCCCUACAGUGGAGGUUAGUAUCAUCAUCAUCACUUUAGCUGUAACAAAACAAGACAAGUGACUUCAGUGAUCAAGCAAAACAUGUACCAAAAGUCAAGUUAUCCACAAGGGAAUAUAGCAGUAAGCAAUACCUAGUGAUCUAAAGAAGCAACUUGCAAAGGAGAGGAAAAAAAAAAAAAAAGUCGGAAUUUGAGAUAGUUCCUGCCCAAAUAACAUAUUGGAUCUGUGACACUUUGUUCUGGUACUAAUUUCCUGGCAGCACUCACCACACACAGUUUCUGUUCCCUGGCAAUAACUAACAACACUACCUGUACCUUCGCAGAUGGUUUGGUGGUGUAUAUAUCUUCCUAGAAGCACGUAAUUUGUUUCCCAGCUGUGAUGUAUUUGCCAGAGAUUUUCAACUGUCAAAACAACCCCCUUCCUUGCUCAUGAUCUCACCGCUGUGUACCCAUUAGGCUCCUGUCCAGCCCAGAAAGACCAUGGUGACAUGCAUUGCUGAGCACUGGCCUGUGCUCUCAUGAUGAAGCGCUAAGUUGAAGUUGGCUUGAGAGAGCAGCAGUCAGCCUGGAAGAAGACCUGGGAGAGGACAUGACACUAGCCUGUCACUUUUUGCAAGACAGUCUCAGAGCGAGGUUGUGUAAAGGAUGAGAUCUUUCUUCUGCUGCCAUUACAGACCAGGAGAAGAGAUGCUAACAGCCUCUCGUGUACCAGGAUGGAAGGCAGCUGACACAAAAAGUGUGGAACCAGAAAAAAAGUGAAGCCACAGAUUUUGCAAAGAGAGACACUGUUUGGCAAUUUACUGAAGCUUGUUAUUAUUGGUUUUGAGUUAGCAUCUUUUGUCUCUCCAGUUUUUAUGAUCCAGGAAAUCCAUUCAUCACAAUUCUGGAAUGCUGGAAAACUCACUGAGGAACUACAAAGGGCAGGCAGGGCGAAUCUUCUGGGCUUUAAAUCUUCCCCAGCCAGGAGGAAUUCUGAAAGGAGGAAAACAGCUGGGAAACACAUCCAUGCCUCCUGCAAAGGGGAUGGAGGCUGUCUGGAUCCCAACAGCAUGGCACUCUUCCUGCCCAAACACAACUUGUCACCGUGCUUUUUGUGCCGGGGUGGACAAGAGAAGGAGUAUCAUAUAUACAAUAUAUACAGAUGCAUUUGUGUGCAUGCUUACUUAAGUGUAUGUGUGUAUGCAUAUGUAUAUAUAUAUACACGUAUACAAAUAUACAGUGUGACUAUAUAUACAAACAUACAAAUACACAGAACAGCUAUGUGAUCUAACUGAACUACACUCUGUAGCGGCUUUAUUUGGAAAACCAUCCCCACAGAUUCAUCUGCACUGAUAUGUUUACAGUGAAAUUCUAUCUACAGCAUAAAAACCUUGAAUAUUGCCUCUGAAGCAAAUUUGCCCUUCACCAUGUUUUGUGGCAUGCAAUGUUAUAGAAAAUUGUUUUGAUGUUUUUCCUUAAAAAAAAUAAAUAAAUCAAAACCCACA
RNAcentral lists this long non-coding RNA (1545 nucleotides) under Anas platyrhynchos platyrhynchos (common mallard). Its description in RNAcentral is "lncRNA (ENSAPLG00000026407.1)". Lineage: Eukaryota; Metazoa; Chordata; Aves; Anseriformes; Anatidae. The record is from RNAcentral.